ACAGCCAGGAUGUUGGCUUAGAAGCAGCCAUCAUUUAAAGAAAGCGUAAUAGCUCACUGGUCGAGUCGGCCUGCGCGGAAGAUGUAACGGGGCUAAACCAUGCACCGAAGCUGCGGCAGCGACACUAUGUGUUGUUGGGUAGGGGAGCGUUCUGUAAGCCUGCGAAGGUGACCUGUGAGGGUUGCUGGAGGUAUCAGAAGUGCGAAUGCUGACAUAAGUAACGAUAAAGCGGGUGAAAAGCCCGCUCGCCGGAAGACCAAGGGUUCCUGUCCAACGUUAAUCGGGGCAGGGUGAGUCGACCCCUAAGGCGAGGCCGAAAGGCGUAGUCGAUGGGAAACAGGUUAAUAUUCCUGUACUUGGUGUUACUGCGAAGGGGGGACGGAGAAGGCUAUGUUAGCCGGGCGACGGUUGUC
RNAcentral lists this ribosomal RNA (413 nucleotides) under Klebsiella pneumoniae. Its description in RNAcentral is "partial 23S ribosomal RNA". It matches the Rfam family "Bacterial large subunit ribosomal RNA", at positions 1089 to 1506 of the family's 2925-position model. The record is from RNAcentral. Lineage: Bacteria; Pseudomonadati; Pseudomonadota; Gammaproteobacteria; Enterobacterales; Enterobacteriaceae.